This 318-nucleotide ribosomal RNA is filed under the name Triticum aestivum (bread wheat). Its description in RNAcentral is "partial small subunit ribosomal RNA". Lineage: Eukaryota; Viridiplantae; Streptophyta; Magnoliopsida; Poales; Poaceae. The record is from RNAcentral.
AUGAAAAAGCUGGGCCUCGUUCUUGCUCCAGUCCAUGAACUGUCGGGCCUGCGACGCGGCGCUAAGGAAGAAUACCGCGUGCGGCAGUGUGUUUCUUGUAGCGUGCGGUUUCUUAUACGCCAGCCAAACCGCCAGUUUGAUCGCAUCGCCCACACACAAUACAAUGGCCUCAUUGUUGCUCAGAUCUGGUCAGGUGUGCUUCCCCCGGUGCCCAGGCCGCUCGCGGUUGCUCUCCGAUGGUGUUGGGAGGUUCCAGUGCAAGGAAUUCUGCACGCCAUCCAAAUUGAUUUACUAAAUAUUGGAUGUUCAGCACUGUAA